GCUGGGUGUGGUAGUGCACACCUGUAAUCCCAGCAGCUGGGGAGGCUGAGGCAGGAGUAUCAUGAGUUCAACACCAGCUUCAGCUACUUAGCAAGGCCCUAAGCAACACAAUGAGACUCUGCAUCUA
RNAcentral lists this small RNA (127 nucleotides) under Marmota monax (woodchuck). Lineage: Eukaryota; Metazoa; Chordata; Mammalia; Rodentia; Sciuridae. The record is from RNAcentral.